UACACUCCUACGGGAGGCAGCAGUGGGGAAUUUUGGACAAUGGGCGAAAGCCUGAUCCAGCAAUGCCGCGUGAGUGAAGAAGGCCUUCGGGUUGUAAAGCUCUUUUGUCAGGGAAGAAACGGUGAAAGCUAAUAUCUUUUGCUAAUGACGGUACCUGAAGAAUAAGCACCGGCUAACUACGUGCCAGCAGCCGCGGUAAUACGUAGGGUGCAAGCGUUAAUCGGAAUUACUGGGCGUAAAGCGUGCGCAGGCGGUUUUGUAAGUCUGAUGUGAAAUCCCCGGGCUCAACCUGGGAAUUGCAUUGGAGACUGCAAGGCUAGAAUCUGGCAGAGGGGGGUAGAAUUCCACGUGUAGCAGUGAAAUGCGUAGAUAUGUGGAGGAACACCGAUGGCGAAGGCAGCCCCCUGGGUCAAGAUUGACGCUCAUGCACGAAAGCGUGGGGAGCAAACAGGAUUAGAUACCCCAGUAGUCCCA
This 474-nucleotide ribosomal RNA is filed under the name uncultured organism. RNAcentral's name for it is "partial 16S ribosomal RNA". It matches the Rfam family "Bacterial small subunit ribosomal RNA", at positions 332 to 797 of the family's 1533-position model. The record is from RNAcentral.